Long non-coding RNA from Callithrix jacchus (white-tufted-ear marmoset), 2733 nucleotides. RefSeq lists it as uncharacterized. The record is from RefSeq and is a predicted model, not a curated record. NCBI's taxonomy places the organism in Eukaryota, Metazoa, Chordata, Mammalia, Primates, Cebidae.
GGCAGGUUUUCUUCCUCUCUCAAGAGAGUUGAGCAGUUUGAAAAUAGGCUGCUUUCAGCCUUGCUUGAAAUCAGGAGUGGAAGAGAGAUACAGGGAUGCAGCGCGGAAGGAGGUUUGCUGUUCUCCUGGCCUGAGGGCUGAAUCGAUUCCACAGGGACCAGAGGCUUCUCAAAUUGUUUCCUGGUGCAUCCCCAUGGUGAAGGAAAAUGACAGAGGACUUCUGGAGGUCCAGGAAUAUAGAUCUACGCUGCCCACACAUACAGGAAAUUUAUUUGAAGUCUCAUGAUUUAGCGGAAAACUGAAAAACAUUGUGAAAUAAAUUUUGGAGCGUCAUUUUCCUGAAGAAAAUCUUAGAAAACAUGAUCAGGUUUGUAGGGGAGAAGAAAUAUUUUCUUACACAUCCAGAGUUUAUAGCUGAGAUAUCUGUAAUAAAAGGUUAAUCAGUGAAAAGCAUACAAAUUUAUUUAAUACAAGUUUUAUGUGACACAGGAACUUCCAGAAAUGAAAACCCAAAGACACAAGGAAACAGAUUUUUAUGCUAAAUUUGAUGAAGAAACGGACAGUUGUGAAGUAUUGGACAAAGGGGGUACGAUGUGAUGGUAACAAACUGGGGGAACUCAACGAGGUCUGUUUGCUGUGAUUACUCUCUAUGUCUUCAGAGACAAGGUUGUUCCUUUUUUCUGGGCAUUAGGAGGAUACUUCUGGAGUGAGGGUCUUAUCACCUGCUUUGGAGAAAAGUGAGGGGAAAAUGAGAGACUUUCCUCAUCUGCUGUUUUCUCAAAUACCAAGCUGCCAUACUUCGUUUGGGGUAGUGUGUCCUGAACCCUUCAGGAUCAUAUAAAUGGCAAAGAAAGGAUUUAAAGCACAUCUGUGUGUUCAAAAACACCAUAUUCUCCCCAGGAUCCUACACUGCCUAUAGCAUUGGGAGGCAGAGUUCAGAAACCCAGUUCACAUUCAUUUUACAAAGCAAUAAAUUGAGGAUCAGAGAAAUUAAUGUAACAUGCCACAUAUUAUAAGCCUUGUAUCGCACAUUUCCAUUAGUAUCUGAUGAGGCGUUAGGUGUGGUUUCUGAGGUAGUGUUGGAUCUUCCAGAGGGUGGGUUGGUGUUGACCUGCGUCACCUGAAGGUCUGCACUGGAGCGUCGUACAUGGGGUGGAGUCAGCUGUCCCUUGGACUCCUAAUUUAUUCUCUGGGCUUGAGGCAAAUCAGAGUCUCCUAGGCACAAUAGUGCUGGGGACCAGGCUGCUGCCAGGUGGAAUGUUCUGUUUGUUUUGGUCCAGAAUCAGCCUGUGGGCGAAUCCUUCCUGGAGAAGAUGAAGGUGCAGGUGGGGAGUGGCCAAGCACACCAUGUGGCAAUCCUGCCAGCUAGUGGCCGCAUAAGGAAUGGGCCUAAACCCACCCAGGAUGCUGCAGGCUGGGGACAAAAAUACUCAGGUUGACUUGAAGUCAGAGGGCACGGGCUUCCUCACCUUGCUCUAGGUCCCUCUGGUCACCUAGGGGAGGGGCUCGGGGAGACCUGAAGAGAUGAAAUGAUGUGUUCUAGGUAUUUUCAAAGUCAGAAUUAGAAUCUGGUCUCUUAACAUCCCAGCUCUUUUUAGUCAUUUAUUAAGAAUGGUAAGGAGGCUGGGUGCGGUGGCUCACGCCUGAAAUCCCAGCACUUUGGGAGGCUGAGGCAGACAGAUCACCUGAGAUCAGGAGUUCGAGACCAGCCUGGCCAAAAUGGUGAAACUGCAUCUCUACUAAAAAUACAAAAAUUAGCCAGGCAUGGUGGUGGGUGCCUGUAAUCCCAGCUACUAGGGAGGCUAAGACAGGAGAAUCACUUGAACCCGGGAGGCAGAGGUUGCAGUGAGCUGAGACUGCACCACUGCACUCCAGCCUGGCUGACAGAGCAAGACUUCAUCUAAAAAAUAAAAAUUAAAAAAUUAAAAGCCAUCAUGGAAGAAGUAGCAUUGACAGACAUUGAAGGACUAUUAAGAUUUCAAAAGGUGAGUGAUCUUACAAUAAAAAGCACCCAGGAAGGGUAAACUGCAUGAGAAAAAGUGUGAGAGCAAUUGGGGAAACGGAAUAAUCCAUUUUGGCCACAUAUUGUAAUUCUGGGAGCAAGGCAAAGAGAAUAAGACCUCUAGAAAGUCUACUCCAUUUAGCAGUAAGGAAUGACUGGGAUUCCAAAAAGCCCUGAUUCAAAUGAGUGAUGAGUAAUGUUCCCAGAGUACUUCCUCAUUCCAUGGGAUGUUAACAGGUAUUUGGCAGAAAAAUGAUUACGUGAUUAAAUAUGCUGGAAAAAAUCUUUAAUUAAAUUAACGUAGUUUAUUAUUUUACUUCUCUGGAUUUUUAGUUUGCAGAUGUGCAUUGCACUGUGGAAAAAAUUUUUGAACAUUGAUGUUUUAAGGAACCAGUGUUUUACAAAAUGGAAUUUUGAAAAUAUUCCACUAAACGUUUUGCUCUUACUUGGGUUUUACGUUUUCCUGAUGAAGGAGAUCUGAAUAUACUUAAAGGUAGAAAAGAAAGAUGCAGAAACAAAGGAGUGUGAAGAUCAAGAAGAAAGGAAAUACGGUGUUGACGGGACACACGUGUUGAAUGAGUUGGGAGGAAGUGAAUGUGAAAAUCUAUUGAUGUAGAACAGAGCAACAAGAAUACAAGUGUUGGAAACAGAUGCCUUGUGCCCCUAAGAAAAAUCAGCACUAUGACAGAGGAUCUCUCAGCAAGAAAGUUUUACUUCCGGGACUGCAGGAA